Molecule: ribosomal RNA, 254 nt
Filed under: uncultured bacterium
Lineage: Bacteria
Description: partial 16S ribosomal RNA
Rfam family: Bacterial small subunit ribosomal RNA
Source: RNAcentral
UACGGAGGGUGCGAGCGUUGUCCGGAAUCACUGGGCGUAAAGGGCGCGUAGGCGGCCAGCACAAGUCAGUUGUGAAAUCUCCGAGCUUAACUCGGAAAGGUCAACUGAUACUGUGCGGCUAGAGUGCGGAAGGGGCAACUGGAAUUCUUGGUGUAGCGGUGAAAUGCGUAGAUAUCAAGAGGAACACCUGCGGCGAAGGCGGGUUGCUGGGCCGACACUGACGCUGAGGCGCGAAAGCCAGGGGAGCGAACGGG